CGCGGCCUAUCAGCUUGUUGGUGAGGUAACGGCCCACCAAGGCGACGACGGGUAGCCGGCCUGAGAGGGUGACCGGCCACACUGGGACUGAGACACGGCCCAGACUCCUACGGGAGGCAGCAGUGGGGAAUAUUGCACAAUGGGCGCAAGCCUGAUGCAGCAACGCCGCGUGAGGGAUGACGGCCUUCGGGUUGUAAACCUCUUUUAGCAGGGAAGAAGCGAAAGUGACGGUACCUGCAGAAAAAGCACCGGCUAACUACGUGCCAGCAGCCGCGGUAAUACGUAGGGUGCAAGCGUUGUCCGGAAUUAUUGGGCGUAAAGAGCUCGUAGGCGGUUUGUCACGUCUGCUGUGAAAAUCCAAGGCUCAACCUUGGACUUGCAGUGGGUACGGGCAGGCUAGAGUGCGGUAGGGGAGAUGGGAAUUCCUGGUGUAGCGGUGGAAUGCGCAGAUAUCAGGAGGAACACCAAUGGCGAAGGCACAUCUCUGGGCCGUAACUGACGCUGAGGAGCGAAAGCGUGGGGAGCGAACAGGAUUAGAUACCCUGGUAGUCCACGCCGUAAACGGUGGGUGCUAGCUGUGGGCCACAUUCCACGUGGUCCGUGACGAAGUUAACACAUUAAGCACCCCGCCUGGGGAGUACGG
RNAcentral lists this ribosomal RNA (643 nucleotides) under uncultured Actinomycetes bacterium. RNAcentral's name for it is "bacterial SSU rRNA". It matches the Rfam family "Bacterial small subunit ribosomal RNA", at positions 232 to 885 of the family's 1533-position model. The record is from RNAcentral. Lineage: Bacteria; Bacillati; Actinomycetota; Actinomycetes.